Molecule: unclassified non-coding RNA, 343 nt
Filed under: soil metagenome
Description: partial contains 5.8S ribosomal RNA, internal transcribed spacer 2, and large subunit ribosomal RNA
Rfam family: 5.8S ribosomal RNA (bases 1-120)
Source: RNAcentral
GAUGAAGAACGCAGCGAAAUGCGAUAAGUAAUGUGAAUUGCAGAAUUCAGUGAAUCAUCGAAUCUUUGAACGCACAUUGCGCCCGCUAGUAUUCUGGCGGGCAUGCCUGUCCGAGCGUCAUUUCAACCCUCAAGCCCCCGGGCUUGGUGUUGGGGAUCGGCGAGCCUCCGCGCCCGCCGUCCCCUAAAUCUAGUGGCGGUCUCGCUGUAGCUUCCUCUGCGUAGUAGCACACCUCGCACUGGGAAACAGCGCGGCCACGCCGUUAAACCCCCAACUUCUGAACGUUUGACCUCGGAUCAGGUAUGAAUACCCGCUGAACUUAAGCAUAUCAAUAAGCGGAGGA